CAGAGGGAAGCAAUACCGCGAGGUGGAGCAAAUCCCUAAAAGCCAUCCCAGUUCGGAUCGCAGGCUGCAACCCGCCUGCGUGAAGUUGGAAUCGCUAGUAAUCGCGGAUCAGCAUGCCGCGGUGAAUACGUUCCCGGGCCUUGUACACACCGCCCGUCACACCAUGAGAGUCGGGAACACCCGAAGUCCGUAGCCUAACUGCAAAGGGGGCGCGGCCGAAGGUGGGUUCGAUAAUUGGGGUGAAGUCGUAACAAGGUAUC
Molecule: ribosomal RNA, 260 nt
Filed under: uncultured bacterium
Lineage: Bacteria
Description: partial 16S ribosomal RNA
Rfam family: Bacterial small subunit ribosomal RNA
Source: RNAcentral